Molecule: small RNA, 122 nt
Filed under: Flavobacterium noncentrifugens
Lineage: Bacteria; Pseudomonadati; Bacteroidota; Flavobacteriia; Flavobacteriales; Flavobacteriaceae
Description: Flavo-1 RNA
Rfam family: Flavo-1 RNA
Source: Rfam by way of RNAcentral
UUUUAGCCCCGAUAGAAGUGGAAAUCAUUUUGAGGCCUUUCGCCGAAAAAGAUUACUUCACAUAAAUUCUAUUUUUAUAGGAGUUCAGUGAAUAUCAUUUGAAACGUAUAGCGGGAUUAGCU